CCUACGGGUGGCUGCAGUGGGGAAUAUUGGACAAUGGGGGAAACCCUGAUCCAGCGACGCCGCGUGUGUGAAGAAGGCCUGCGGGUUGUAAAGCACUUUUAGUGGGGAUGAAAAGCUCAGGGCUAAUACCCCUGGGUCUUGACCUAACCCAAAGAAAAAGCACCGGCUAACUCUGUGCCAGCAGCCGCGGUAAUACAGAGGGUGCGAGCGUUAAUCGGAAUUACUGGGCGUAAAGCGUGCGUAGACGGUCAUCUAAGUCGGAUGUGAAAUCCCCGGGCUCAACCUGGGAAUUGCAUUCGAUACUGGAUGGCUAGGGUGCGGAAGAGGGAAGCGGAAUUUCCGGUGUAGCGGUGAAAUGCGUAGAUAUCGGAAGGAACACCAGUGGCGAAAGCGGCUUCCUGGUCCAGCACCGACGUUCAGGCACGAAAGCGUGGGGAGCAAACAGGAUUAGAUACCCUAGUAGUC
RNAcentral lists this ribosomal RNA (465 nucleotides) under uncultured Gammaproteobacteria bacterium. RNAcentral's name for it is "bacterial SSU rRNA". It matches the Rfam family "Bacterial small subunit ribosomal RNA", at positions 338 to 795 of the family's 1533-position model. Lineage: Bacteria; Pseudomonadati; Pseudomonadota; Gammaproteobacteria. The record is from RNAcentral.